CUUCAGAGAAGAGGGAAUAUCCUGGGGUAAAAAUGUAAGAAGAUCUCAGAGUUUUUCUUCUAAACACUGGGAUUUUUAAUGUGAUGAAGCUCAUUGUCUUCCAGAGUUUAUCUCCUUAUUGGCUGGUUAAAGAUUCAGAGUCUCUUUGAAUAUUAUUAAAUUAUCAAAUUCUCUGAAUACUCAUUUCCACCCGUGUCUCAUAUUCUCAACAGCAUGUGAUGUAGGAUGUACUAAAGGGUUGUACAAUAUGUCAUAAUGUUGCAGGAGUGUACCUACUGCUGAGCUUCGUUUAAUGAUGGGUGUGGGAUUUUUGUCCUCUGAAUCCUCUGGUCAGAGUCCAAAACGGCUCCCUCCAUCAAGACUUACUAGUAAUUCCUGUAUUAUUUCAGAACAAGACAGAGUCCUCAAAAUAAACAUUUUCAACAUGUGGAAAUAAUGCUGUCUUGUCACUGCAAGUGUGGAUAAGAAUAUGAAUAUGUAUAGAUUACACUUCUGGAUUUCUCUACAUAGACUCCAGAAACUAAAUUGUGGCCUAAAAUAGUUUGUUAAAUGGUUGAUUGUAUAUUUCAACUAUAUGUAUUAUCUAAUGAAACUACCUAAUCAAAGUUAAUAUGUAGAUAUUGAUCAAGAAGAAAACAAAAAUCUGAACACAGGGCAGAGGUUGUCAAUGGAUAAAAUGAUAAAUUGUUUAAGAGCGCCUCCUAUCGCCUCUUAUUUUGACACAGUUCAAAAACUCCAUAAAACUACUCAGUCUGGUCAAAAAAAAAAAAAAAAAAAACACAACAAAACAUGAUGCCAUUUAAGUGCACACACUGUCAUAUCAAUACGAUAUAUCAAAAUGAGUAAACUUGAUGACAAAAAUGCUCAACCAUGAGUGUCCUCUAUUCUUUUAACCAUAAGUUCCUUUGUCCUCCCGUCUGUGUGGGAGAGAGUGACUGAGUCUGCUCCAGAUCUUAUCAGUCUGAGAGGAGUAAACUAUUUAGUCUGGUCAUUUACCCUUCUCUGACUACUCAUUCUGUGUACAAGAGAGAGAUAGAGAAAAACAGAGAGAAUGAGAGACAGAAAGAGGGGAAGGUGGGGGAGCAUGUAAGGAUAGAAAAAGCUGUCUGGCAUUUGCUUCUGUCUGUGAAUGAUAAUAAAGUGGCUUCUUAUCACCAGGUUUACAGAAAUCUGAGUAUGAUUUUCAGUAAACAAGUUUAAAAUUCGGUUUAGAAAUGCAAAAAUCACAGAGCAGGAUAUAUUGAAGUAGUUUUCAUCCUCAUACAGCUGUACUUGUUUACUUAUUCAGGUGUAAAACAUGUCUCUCUGUUUGACUGGUACAUCAACACUUACAAAAGCUUUUAAUAAACCAAACUCUGCCAUAAAACUGAAAAAAAUAUAUCCUGUGAUGUUGUGGCAUGCAAAGCGCAUAUCGUCACCCUAUUAAAAUAAUGGCCUAAGUCAUUUUUUUUUCUGACAAAAAUAAGUUUUUGGCCUAAAUAAUCUCUUAAGAUGAUUUAGACCAAAAACUUAUUUUCAUUAAAAAAAAAAAAGAUUUAGGCCAUUAUUUUAAUAGGGUGACGAUAUGUAAUUAACAUUAACUCUAAACCUAUGAUCUCCAAUUAUAGAGGCCUCCACUGCUAACUCCAUAUAUAUAUUCCAUAAUAAAACUGAGGAUGAUUCAUAGAUAAAAACUACAUUUCAGGAGACAUUUGUAGGCUGUGUUUACUGAACGUGAUUCGUUAAUAAGGGCGUCACUUCUAACUUUUGGCUAAUCAAUUGUCUAAAACAACAAUGUGGGAGGGGCUUACCUAACGUAAUGUAUGAAAUAAUUGGCGAGUAGUGCGCGUCCCGUUAGCAUGAUUUUUUUUUUGUAGGAAGGUAGGGGAAGGGCCCGCCCUCCUUCGCCUCUGAUUGGCUAGAAGUGCUGGGCUCCGAUUGGUUAUCUCUCACGGCUGAAAAAUAUAUCGCGUCCCGUUCUUCGGAGAAAAGUCUAGCGCGCAUGUCACAGGUAGACCGGAAAUACUCCGAAAUGGCGCGGAAACAAAAAGCGGAAGCUGUUGUUUUGAAUAUUUUUGUCCAGAUGAAUCCGCACAGCCUGCCUGAGAAGAAAGUAGGCAACAAAAUUAGCAAGGAUUAGACUCUCUGAGUUGAAGUUAAAGUGGAUGCGACAAAACAGCGUCACAUAAGGUAAGAAAAGUUUCCUCAAUGCUGGCUGUGGAGUUUGGUUUGUGUUUUGCUGCUUUCGUACUGUCCUGUUAGCCUUGUGAUUUGCAUCUUUGCUUGGUUUUGCAAAGUUUGAUGUGCUGGUUUAGUUUUUAGGUUUCUUUGGCUAUCACCAAUUGCUGCGUUUCUGUGCCGGUGUUGAUAUUUGGGAGUGAUACUGGUUUAAAAGAGAAUUAUGUCUGUUACAUUUGAUUUCUUGCUCUUGCCUGGGCCUCCCUGGUCCUUUUUUCUAUGUUGUAUUUUGCCACUGGAAAGUUACAAACAAAUCAUUAAAUGCAAACAGAAACAUUAGCCAAUGAGAGGCCAUGGCAAUACCAUUGAUUGCCUUCAUCAAGUAACAAUUUGAUUCAAAAUGGAUUUCUUUAGUGAUAUUUCAGUUGUGGUAUUAAUAUUUGAAUAUAAAAGAGAUUCUCAGAGAAUUGCUGUUGCUUAUUGUGUGAGGACUCUUCAAGCCAAGAGCAUUAUACUAUAAAGCAGAUAUUUGGAUGUACCAUCUGAAAUGAUGACCUUAACGCUACAGUAUCAGAAGUAGUUGACUUCUCAAAAAUAACACACUCAUCGCUUUUGACUGCAUGCAAAGCUUACAAGUAAACACUGUGCUGGUCUUUUGGCUGUGUUCAUUCUCCGUUACCCGCUGGCAAAGUGUUGAUAAUGUUCCACCCCAUUUGUUGAUUUAGGUGGUUAUGCUGGGUUGUAGAGGAGUAAAAUGAGACCAGCAGUUUAUCUAGUGUAAAUGUCAAUUGUCAGAACCCUCCCUGUCAGUUACCUUAAGUUCUAGUUCAAAGGAUUAGCUGAUCCUUUUACACUGACGCACUACACGCUUUCAGGACAAGCCUUUGGCUUUGUAGUUGCGACGCUGUUUCACUUCUGCACACAGUUUUGGGAUGGCAAAUUCACUCACAUGAUUGGGAAUCACAAACAAAGCAAGUGGGGCAUUAUCAGCAACAGUGAGCAGCUGUAUAUCCUGGCAUGUGAAAAGUGCAGCAGCUUUGUUUUUUGGCCAUGUCGAGAGUCGGAUUGUUACUAAACCAGAAUACUUUCUCUGGUGGGAUCAGUCUGAGGUUUUGUGUUGCUGGUAGUUUAUGUGGGACAUACCUUGUAAAAUGGUUUCAGAGAUUUUUAGUGUGCAGUCAUAUAAUACUUAUGGAUAUGGCCUUGCUUUGGUCCAUAUCUUAAAGGGUUAUGCUUUAAGGUUUGUCUGUGCCUUCAGUGCAACAGUUUAACCCUAACCUUACCCUCUAACGUAUCCAGGUCUCAUUGCUUGAAGGCUUGUGAUGAGGGACAAGAGGCCACCCACAAGAAAAGAGAUUUACAUAUUGUGAUUUUAUGACCAUUGUUGUAGGAGCCAAAUAUGUUGCUGGGAUACAUAUUAUGAGUUGCAGUUCACUUUUGGUGCCUCACGCUAAAACUCAGUAGCGCAGCGCAUCAACCAGGUAACUCCAGGUAACCAGGUAACUCCAGAUGUUUGGUGGCUAGUACUGUGGCUGGGACCCUAUAUGUCCUGUUGAUGAAGUUAGGUGCUGUUCUUAGCAUUAUUUGUGGCUAUAGAGUGGCAUUUUGGUUGAGGUUUGUUUAUGGCUCCUCAGACCGCUGUGUAUUGCUAUCCUUCAGUCAUUACUGAAGUUGGUAUAACUAGAGAAGCAAGCGGUCGUCAACAUUCAUUUCUCGAGGGGGUGUGUAACUCGGUAUUAAGGUGUGUUUAACCCUAAAUUAAUUUGACGUUGGAAUAUCCCUUUUAAAAUGAGGCUUACCCUUCAGGGUGCUGUGAAACUUUUUGUUUGACAUGCACCCCCUCUGUAGCCUAAGGCAUUAAAAGCUAUUUUAUAGAAGUCAUGUGUCUCAUUGCUGAUGGUGAAUUUACUUUUGCAGUCAUGAGGAGGCAUCACUGUUCAUUAUCUGUUUCAUAACCAGUCAAAAACCCCUCAGGGCCACUUCAGUUUUAAUGUCUCUUGAUAUAGACUGUCUUAUGAUAAUAAUGUCUAACAUUGUGACAAUGAGAAGUGAUCUUGUCACAGCAUUUACACCCUUUCAAGAAAACAGUUUACUUAACACGAAUCAUUUUUAAGAGAUACACAAACAUUCAAGAUAGAUUUAUUACUUUUAGAGUGGAACACUUUAAACUGUCGCUCAUAAUUACCCUGAAGUGUUGAUUGUGUGGGUGUGUGUGUAGUGUAUGUCUGUGGGUGUAUACAUAUACUCUAGGCUGCAUGCCCAUGAGCAAACCUGCAACACUUGCACACACACACACACACACACACACACACACACACACACACACACACACACACACACACACACACACACACACACACACACACACACAGUCACUACAAGCAUCUGUACAAUGACAGUGCUUGCAGAAAAACACAUUCACACACUUCCUUGUGUAUCGCUGUAAGCUGAUGUUUUGGAAACUCAAGCCUUCGUUCAAAGUCCCUUACAGCUAGCACCUGUGGAGGGGUGUAUUACACACACCCACACACACAAACUUGCUUUCACAAACACACACUCCAAGGAUACUUCGGAAUGUGAAUGCCUAAAGGACAAGAGUCCUCUUUGCUCCUCAGUCGCUGGCCUUCUCUCACUCUCUGCAUAUUCGUGUCUCUUUUGUUGCGUCUUUUGUCACAUCUCUCUUCAUUACUAAACCUAAUCAUGUCUGGAAACACUCAGCACCAAUCACAGAGUGAUACAGGAUUAUGCCAUAAUGUCCAUUUUAUUCCAUGCUCCUCAUUAGCUAAUGGAUGAGGUGUGAUUGCAGACUCUCCAGCUAGCUCACUGGGAUAGACUCAGACACGUACGGCUUGUGAUCUCACGCUCCU
Non-coding RNA from Xyrichtys novacula (pearly razorfish), 5024 nucleotides. The record is from the annotation of a GenBank genome assembly. NCBI's taxonomy places the organism in Eukaryota, Metazoa, Chordata, Actinopteri, Labriformes, Labridae.